UACGUAGGGGGCAAGCGUUGUCCGGAAUCAUUGGGCGUAAAGCGCGUGUAGGCGGCCCGGUAAGUCCGCUGUGAAAGUCCAGGGCUCAACCCUGGAAUGCCGGUGGAAACUGUCGAGCUAGAGUCCGGAAGAGGCGAGUGGAAUUCCUGGUGGUAGCGGUGAAAUGCGCAGAUAUCAGGAGGAACACCAAUGGCGAAGGCAGCUCGCUGGGACGGUACUGACGCUGAGACGCGAAAGCGUGGGGAGCAAACAGG
This 254-nucleotide ribosomal RNA is filed under the name uncultured bacterium. Its description in RNAcentral is "partial 16S ribosomal RNA". It matches the Rfam family "Bacterial small subunit ribosomal RNA", at positions 524 to 776 of the family's 1533-position model. The record is from RNAcentral.